UACAGAGGGGGCAAGCGUUGUUCGGAAUUACUGGGCGUAAAGGGCGCGUAGGCGGCCUGUUAAGUCGGAUGUGAAAUCCCCAGGCUCAACCUGGGAACUGCAUCCGAUACUGGAUGGCUUGAAUUCGGGAGAGGGAUGCAGAAUUCCAGGUGUAGCGGUGAAAUGCGUAGAUAUCUGGAGGAAUACCGGUGGCGAAGGCGGCAUCCUGGACCGACAUUGACGCUGAGGAGCAAAAGCCAGGGGAGCAAACGGG
Molecule: ribosomal RNA, 253 nt
Filed under: uncultured bacterium
Lineage: Bacteria
Description: partial 16S ribosomal RNA
Rfam family: Bacterial small subunit ribosomal RNA
Source: RNAcentral